UACAGAGGGGGCAAGCGUUGUUCGGAAUUACUGGGCGUAAAGGGCGCGUAGGCGGCCCGCUAAGUCGAACGUGAAAUCCCUCGGCUCAACUGAGGAACUGCACGGGAAACUGCCUGGCUUGAGUUCGGGAGAGGGAAGCGGAAUUCCGGGUGUAGCGGUGAAAUGCGUAGAUAUCCGGAGGAACACCGGUGGCGAAGGCGGCUUCCUGGACCGACACUGACGCUGAGGCGCGAAAGCUAGGGGAGCAAACGGG
This 253-nucleotide ribosomal RNA is filed under the name uncultured bacterium. RNAcentral describes it as "partial 16S ribosomal RNA". It matches the Rfam family "Bacterial small subunit ribosomal RNA", at positions 524 to 776 of the family's 1533-position model. The record is from RNAcentral.